CCUACGGGGUGCAGCAGUGAGGAAUAUUGGUCAAUGGGCGAGAGCCUGAACCAGCCAAGUCGCGUGAGGGAGUACUGCCCUAUGGGUUGUAAACCUCUUUUGUCGGGGAGCAAAAGCCGGACGUGUCCGGCUGUGAGAGUACCCGAAGAAAAAGCAUCGGCUAACUCCGUGCCAGCAGCCGCGGUAAUACGGAGGAGGCGCGAGUUAGCCGGUUUUUUGGGGUUUAAAGGGGGCGCAGGCGGAUUUUUAAGUUAGCGGUAAAAGCGUGGGGCUCAACCCCAUCCAGCCGUUGAAACUGGGGAUCUAGAGAGGGCGAGAGGUAUGCGGAAUGCGUGGUGUAGCGGUGAAAUGCAUAGAGAUCACGCAGAACCCCGAUUGCGAAGGCAGCAUACCGGUGCACAACUGACGCUCAGGCACGAAAGCGUGGGUAUCGAACAGGAUUAGAUACCCGUGUAGUC
Molecule: ribosomal RNA, 458 nt
Filed under: uncultured bacterium
Lineage: Bacteria
Description: partial 16S ribosomal RNA
Rfam family: Bacterial small subunit ribosomal RNA
Source: RNAcentral